This 73-nucleotide transfer RNA is filed under the name Stegodyphus mimosarum. It matches the Rfam family "tRNA". Rfam says of the family: Transfer RNA (tRNA) molecules are approximately 80 nucleotides in length. Their secondary structure includes four short double-helical elements and three loops (D, anti-codon, and T loops). The record is from Rfam by way of RNAcentral. Lineage: Eukaryota; Metazoa; Arthropoda; Arachnida; Araneae; Eresidae.
GCCUUCGUGGUGUAGUGGUCAGCACACUCGGCGCGUAUUCGAGAGGUCCGUGGUUCGAAUCCCGGCGAGGGUU